CUUUCAUGUUGAGUUCACCGUUGGAGUAGAAAACUAGUGAAUUGUUUCAAGAUGAUGUGGCACAGUGGACCCCAUCUAAAGAAUCCAUUUUGAGUUCACCGCUGUAGAUGCUCUAACAAAAUUUAGAGAUUAAAAUAGUAACUUAAUUUUAGCGACUAAAAUUUCAGUCGCUAACUAUUUUUUAAUUACAUAAUUUAAUUUUCUUUAUUAAUUAAAAAAAUGAAAUAGUUUUUGCAGACAAAAUAUUUAUAAUAGUUAACUAAAACUAAACACGUCUCUAAAAUGGUCACAAAUAUAUUUUAGCCACCGAUUUAGAGACUAAUUUAUUAGUGACCGAUUUAGUGACAUUGAAAUUCAAAGGCUUCAAUCCUUUUCAAAGCUUGAAAGUAAUAAAACUACUAAGUUAAGCUUUACGAUUUUGCUCGCCGUAAACGCAGUUCAUGGGGAGAAAAUCUCACAUUCUACAUCGGUUGCGGUUACCUCGGUGGUUCAAUCGCCGGUGUCGGACUCGUCGACGACGUUAAAGCCUUCGAGUCCAGCGACACCGCGAAGCUUCAGAUGACUACCUUAUGUACACUGAUGCUACGUUUUUAUCUAACAGUAGUGAACUGUUGCUUGAGAUCUUAGGUCCCAACAUUGUUGGUGGAUUGUUUUAUCUUGUACUCGGUGCUCUCCCUGAUGCAAUGAUCAUUCUCGUUACCGUAACCAAAAUUCAUUCAUUUUAUUUUUUUUAAAUUUCAGUUAUUAGAACUCAUUCUCUUUGUUGUUCGAUUAUUAUUAUUUUUUUAAAUUGGAUAGUCACAAAUAUUGAUUUUGUAAAAUUGUUGAUUUUGAGGUUAAUUUGGAAGCAAAGUCUGCCUUCAAUUAGAAUAUUAUUUUUUUGGGGUAAAAAUUUGAGAAAAUAAAUUAAUUAAAGGCAGUACAUGUUUAGGUGUUAAUCUUAGUAAUUCAGAUUUAGUUUCAACAGAUAAGUAAAGUCUAGUAAAAGAUUGUUUCAGGAUUCGAACUCGAGUAACUAUUUAAAUCCAAUCAUUUGGUUGGAUAUAUUCUACUAUUGUAACAAAAAGAAUAAAAAUUUAGUUUAUUUUUAUUUUCUAGUAAAAUUUCAGUCAAGUGAGUGCCUGAAAUAUAUUUGGUGUCCUAAUACUACAUGCAUGCUUCUGAUUGGAACUUGAUUUUACAAAUGAAGUUGAAUGUUGCUUUUUAUAUCUGAUGUGCCAUUUCACAUAUUGAGGAAAUAAGGACAAAUUAGAGCACCAACAUUGAUGUAUCUUAUGUGCAAUGCCUAAUUGAUUUCACUGCAUUUCAGGCUAAUGGAUCUUGAAGAGCAUUCUAGAACAGAGGAAAGUGACUUUGAAUUGCUCAAGAAGGCUCUUACCAUUGAUAACCAGAAAGAUAACAAACAAAUGGCAAAUGAUUCAGAGGAAACAAAGUUGAU
Non-coding RNA from Cicer arietinum (chickpea), 1438 nucleotides. The record is from RefSeq and is a predicted model, not a curated record. Lineage: Eukaryota; Viridiplantae; Streptophyta; Magnoliopsida; Fabales; Fabaceae.